RNAcentral lists this ribosomal RNA (732 nucleotides) under uncultured bacterium. RNAcentral describes it as "bacterial SSU rRNA". It matches the Rfam family "Bacterial small subunit ribosomal RNA", at positions 771 to 1501 of the family's 1533-position model. The record is from RNAcentral.
AACAGGAUUAGAUACCCUGGUAGUCCACGCCCUAAACGAUGUCUACUAGUUGUUGGUGGAGUAAAAUCCAUGAGUAACGCAGCUAACGCGUGAAGUAGACCGCCUGGGGAGUACGGUCGCAAGAUUAAAACUCAAAUGAAUUGACGGGGGCCCGCACAAGCGGUGGAUUAUGUGGAUUAAUUCGAUGCAACGCGAAAAACCUUACCUGGCCUUGACAUGUAACGAACUUUCCAGAGAUGGAUUGGUGCUCGAAAGAGAACGUUAACACAGGUGCUGCAUGGCUGUCGUCAGCUCGUGUCGUGAGAUGUUGGGUUAAGUCCCGCAACGAGCGCAACCCUUGCCAAUAAUUGCCAUCAUUUAGUUGGGCACUUUAUUGGGACUGCCGAUGACAAAUCGGAGGAAGGUGGGGAUGACGUCAAGUCCUCAUGGCCCUUAUGGCCAGGGCUUCACACGUAAUACAAUGGUCGGUACAGAGGGUUGCCAAGCCGCAAGGUGGAGCCAAUCCCAGAAGGCCGAUCGUAGUCCGGAUUGAGGUCUGCAACUCGACCUCAUGAAGUCGGAAUCGCUAGUAAUCGCGGAUCAGCAUGUCGCGGUGAAUACGUUCCCGGGCCUUGUACACACCGCCCGUCACACCAUGGGAGUGGGUUUUACCAGAAGUAGGUAGUCUAACCGCAAGGAGGACGCUUACCACGGUAGUAUUCAUGACUGGGGUGAAGUCGUAACAAGGUAACC